Molecule: ribosomal RNA, 253 nt
Filed under: uncultured bacterium
Lineage: Bacteria
Description: partial 16S ribosomal RNA
Rfam family: Bacterial small subunit ribosomal RNA
Source: RNAcentral
UACGUAGGUGGCAAGCGUUGUCCGGAUUUACUGGGCGUAAAGAGCGCGCAGGCGGUCGUUCAAGUCGCGUGUGAAAGCCCCCGGCUCAACUGGGGAGGGUCACGCGAUACUGAUCGACUCGAAGGCAGGAGAGGGUAGUGGAAUUCCCGGUGUAGUGGUGAAAUUCGUAGAUAUUGGGAGGAACACCGGUGGCGAAGGCGGCCACCUGGACGGUAACUGACGCUAAGACGCGAAAGCGUGGGGAGCAAACAGG